This 357-nucleotide unclassified non-coding RNA is filed under the name uncultured Inocybe. RNAcentral's name for it is "sequence contains ITS1". The stretch from base 1 to 105 matches the Rfam family "5.8S ribosomal RNA", at positions 50 to 154 of the family's 154-position model. Lineage: Eukaryota; Fungi; Basidiomycota; Agaricomycetes; Agaricales; Cortinariaceae. The record is from RNAcentral.
GAAAUGCGAUAAGUAAUGUGAAUUGCAGAAUUCAGUGAAUCAUCGAAUCUUUGAACGCAUCUUGCGCUCCUUGGUAUUCCGAGGAGCAUGCCUGUUUGAGUGUCAUUUAACUUCUCAACCACAUUGGAUAUUUUUUUUCCGAUGCCGGCUUGGAUGUGGGGGUUGUUUGCAGGCUUUUUGUAACAAAAAGGUCGGCUCCCCUGAAAUGUAUUAGUGGUAUCUGAGGCUAUUGCUAUUAGGUGUGAUAAUUAUCUAUGCCUUUUGGGUAUGCCGCAUGAACAGAUUAUGCUGCUUCUAACGAAAACUUAUUUUGAUGAAUUUGACCUCAAAUCAGGUAGGACUACCCGCUGAACUUAA